This 240-nucleotide unclassified non-coding RNA is filed under the name soil metagenome. RNAcentral's name for it is "partial contains 5.8S ribosomal RNA, internal transcribed spacer 2, and large subunit ribosomal RNA". The record is from RNAcentral.
AACGCACGAGACCUGCGGACCUGCGGAAGGAUCAUUACCGAGUUUACAACUCCCAAACCCCAAUGUGAACAUUACCUUUACUGUUGCUUCGGCGGGAUCGCCCCGGGCGCGGCCGAGAGGCCCAGCCCCGGAUCCAACGUGCGCCCGCCGGAGGACCCCCAGACUCCAUGUUUCUUGCAAGGUAUUUCUGAGCUGCUCCUAGCGAGCAAAACAAAAAAUGAAUCAAAACUUUCAGCAACG